Molecule: ribosomal RNA, 274 nt
Filed under: uncultured bacterium
Lineage: Bacteria
Description: partial 16S ribosomal RNA
Rfam family: Bacterial small subunit ribosomal RNA
Source: RNAcentral
AUACGGAGGGUGCGAGCGUUAAUCGGAAUUACUGGGCGUAAAGGGCACGUAGGCGGCUUAAUAAGUCAGAUGUGAAAGCCCUGGGCUUAACCUGGGAACUGCAUUUGAAACGGUUAGGCUAGAGUUUGAUAGAGGGGAGUGGAAUUUCCGGUGUAGCGGUGAAAUGCGUAGAGAUCGGAAGGAACACCAGUGGCGAAGGCGACUCCCUGGAUUAAAACUGACGCUGAGGUGCGAAAGCGUGGGUAGCAAACAGGAUUAGAAACCCGGGUAGUCC